This is a long non-coding RNA of Mesocricetus auratus (golden hamster), 407 nucleotides long. RefSeq lists it as uncharacterized. NCBI's taxonomy places the organism in Eukaryota, Metazoa, Chordata, Mammalia, Rodentia, Cricetidae. The transcript has 3 exons. The record is from RefSeq and is a predicted model, not a curated record.
UCCAUUUUUGCAGCUACAAACUGAAGUGCAAUUAACUUCUUUGAAAAAUGCAUCUUUAUGCACAUCUGGCUUGACCUGAUUAUGCAAUCUCGCUGUGCAGAGGCUUUUGCACAAGUGUGGCCACUGCAAGGAGGAACAUUACGGAUUUCACCGGGUACAGAAUGGUCACUCUGAUAGUUCAUUCAUCUCGAAAAACAUGCUGGUGGCAGAACCAAUGCUAAGAUGGUGUUCAGAUGUUGCCUUCGCACUGUCCUCACAUUUAUAAAGCUUGGACCUCACAAAGCUCAGGGAAGACCUGCUCACUUCUGAGUCACAAGGUGUAUGGAUGGCUUGUUCUGUAUAAUUAUGUGGAAACAAUGUUAGAUGUAUUACUUUUCUGGAAAUAAAAUAAAGAUAUUCUUCCCAAU